CUCUUCCCUGGUGUUGCUCCCUGAGCUGCGCCCCUCAACUCUCCCUCUAAGCCCUUCUCUCCACCACCCCUCACAAACCACUACAGAACCAAUAUUGUGAUGCCUAGAUUUUGCCAAGAUGGAAUUCAGGGAUGGACCCAGCCUGGCUAAGGGAACCAUUUCACUGCCGGACUUAGGCUGGCGAUGCCCCUUCGCCAGCCAUAGUCACGGAAUGCCCUCUGUUCAAGCUACUUUCCCCAGUUUCUGUUGUGCCCUUCCACUUUCCAGUGUUGGGCAGGAUGGAGGAGUGAUGCCCACUUAGGGGCACUCCUGGGCCCACUUCGAGCCGGGCUCAUCCUCUCUCUCUCCUUGCCCCAUACACACAGCACAAGCUAAGGGCUUCCAUUCUGCCCAAGCUGUGUUCACUGCCAAUGCUGUGCUUGCCCUGCCCCCUCCCCCACUCGGGGGCGAGUCUUCCGGAGGGUCAAGGUCUCACGGGGUGGGGCCCGAUUGGGGGCCCCGGAGAGGGGGGGGGAGGAUGAAGACGCUCUGUUACCUCAUGUCCGUGCCCGCUGGGGAGGGGUCCCAGGAGAAGAAGAAGGGCGUUGCCUGGCGGGUACUUUUCUAUCUUUUAUUUCCAGAUUUUUUUUGUAUCUAAACUUGCAGAUUUGUAUUAUACAAGGACAGCCAAUAAAGGAAGACUAUAAUGGUG
RNAcentral lists this long non-coding RNA (691 nucleotides) under Rattus norvegicus (Norway rat). RNAcentral describes it as "long non-coding RNA NONRATT000512". The record is from RNAcentral. Lineage: Eukaryota; Metazoa; Chordata; Mammalia; Rodentia; Muridae.